This 1429-nucleotide ribosomal RNA is filed under the name Staphylococcus aureus. Its description in RNAcentral is "partial 23S ribosomal RNA". It matches the Rfam family "Bacterial large subunit ribosomal RNA", at positions 1498 to 2925 of the family's 2925-position model. Lineage: Bacteria; Bacillati; Bacillota; Bacilli; Caryophanales; Staphylococcaceae. The record is from RNAcentral.
AUUGGAUUGCACGUCUAAGCAGUAAGGCUGAGUAUUAGGCAAAUCCGGUACUCGUUAAGGCUGAGCUGUGAUGGGGAGAAGACAUUGUGUCUUCGAGUCGUUGAUUUCACACUGCCGAGAAAAGCCUCUAGAUAGAAAAUAGGUGCCCGUACCGCAAACCGACACAGGUAGUCAAGAUGAGAAUUCUAAGGUGAGCGAGCGAACUCUCGUUAAGGAACUCGGCAAAAUGACCCCGUAACUUCGGGAGAAGGGGUGCUCUUUAGGGUUAACGCCCAGAAGAGCCGCAGUGAAUAGGCCCAAGCGACUGUUUAUCAAAAACACAGGUCUCUGCUAAACCGUAAGGUGAUGUAUAGGGGCUGACGCCUGCCCGGUGCUGGAAGGUUAAGAGGAGUGGUUAGCUUCUGCGAAGCUACGAAUCGAAGCCCCAGUAAACGGCGGCCGUAACUAUAACGGUCCUAAGGUAGCGAAAUUCCUUGUCGGGUAAGUUCCGACCCGCACGAAAGGCGUAACGAUUUGGGCACUGUCUCAACGAGAGACUCGGUGAAAUCAUAGUACCUGUGAAGAUGCAGGUUACCCGCGACAGGACGGAAAGACCCCGUGGAGCUUUACUGUAGCCUGAUAUUGAAAUUCGGCACAGCUUGUACAGGAUAGGUAGGAGCCUUUGAAACGUGAGCGCUAGCUUACGUGGAGGCGCUGGUGGGAUACUACCCUAGCUGUGUUGGCUUUCUAACCCGCACCACUUAUCGUGGUGGGAGACAGUGUCAGGCGGGCAGUUUGACUGGGGCGGUCGCCUCCUAAAAGGUAACGGAGGCGCUCAAAGGUUCCCUCAGAAUGGUUGGAAAUCAUUCAUAGAGUGUAAAGGCAUAAGGGAGCUUGACUGCGAGACCUACAAGUCGAGCAGGGUCGAAAGACGGACUUAGUGAUCCGGUGGUUCCGCAUGGAAGGGCCAUCGCUCAACGGAUAAAAGCUACCCCGGGGAUAACAGGCUUAUCUCCCCCAAGAGUUCACAUCGACGGGGAGGUUUGGCACCUCGAUGUCGGCUCAUCGCAUCCUGGGGCUGUAGUCGGUCCCAAGGGUUGGGCUGUUCGCCCAUUAAAGCGGUACGCGAGCUGGGUUCAGAACGUCGUGAGACAGUUCGGUCCCUAUCCGUCGUGGGCGUAGGAAAUUUGAGAGGAGCUGUCCUUAGUACGAGAGGACCGGGAUGGACAUACCUCUGGUGUACCAGUUGUCGUGCCAACGGCAUAGCUGGGUAGCUAUGUGUGGACGGGAUAAGUGCUGAAAGCAUCUAAGCAUGAAGCCCCCCUCAAGAUGAGAUUUCCCAACUUCGGUUAUAAGAUCCCUCAAAGAUGAUGAGGUUAAUAGGUUCGAGGUGGAAGCAUGGUGACAUGUGGAGCUGACGAAUACUAAUCGAUCGAAGACUUAAUCAAAA